RNAcentral lists this non-coding RNA (125 nucleotides) under Fictibacillus arsenicus. RNAcentral's name for it is "SAM-I sequence". It matches the Rfam family "SAM riboswitch aptamer (S box leader)". Rfam says of the family: The SAM riboswitch is found upstream of a number of genes which code for proteins involved in methionine or cysteine biosynthesis in Gram-positive bacteria. The SAM riboswitch acts at the level of transcription termination control. The predicted structure consists of a complex stem-loop region followed by a single stem loop terminator region. Lineage: Bacteria; Bacillati; Bacillota; Bacilli; Caryophanales; Fictibacillaceae. The record is from Rfam by way of RNAcentral.
AACUUAUCACGAGAGGUGGAGGGACUGGCCCUAUGAAACCCGGCAACCGCUAGCUGUAUGUAAUCCAUACUGACUAGAAAGGUGCCAAUUCCUGCAAGGCAUUCAAUUGUCUUGGGAGAUGAGGA